This is a non-coding RNA of Struthio camelus australis, 1339 nucleotides long. NCBI's taxonomy places the organism in Eukaryota, Metazoa, Chordata, Aves, Struthioniformes, Struthionidae. The record is from RefSeq and is a predicted model, not a curated record.
UCGGAUGUCCCAGCCCUCUCAUGUGCACAUACAUUUGGUUUCUGACUAAUAUGAGGUCUCCGUCAGAGAAACAGCCUUUGUCGUUUCAAAUCCAGCAGGUCUUAGACUCGGGUCGUGACUCAGCUACCACAAACUGUAUGCAGAGGAGACCACAAAUUCCUCCGGUCCAUGAUUUGAAAGGUUACCUGGUCUUCUCCUGCUCUUGUUCCACGGAUAACAAAAAUCCUGAGAGAUAAUGCCAGGUCAUCACAACCAUGCACUGGAGCACUGUGUACCUGCAGACCAACACUGGCAACUCUGAAAUGCAUAGCGAGCGCUGGUUAAUGUGUGUGGGACAGAUCUAUCCAGAUAUAUGAGAGAAAUCAUUGCAAUACAUCACUCUUGGCAUUUUACAAUCCCCAUUUGACCAUUUCCCCAAAAAGUUACUUAAAGUGUAUAUUGCUUUACAUUUUUAAAAUUUUGUUUAAAAUAGAAGAACUUUUACAGGCAAGCCUAAAAGAUUAUUUUAGGAGCGAAACUUAUUUGUGAGAUUUCUAGCCUAAGUAAAUAAGAAUCCCAUGGGAACAAAGAAUUUGGGAUACAUUCAAACAAACACUGUAAAGUUUUGAGAAAUGCCAAGUUGUGCGGAGAUCGGUGUGUGUACUACGUGUUUGUAUAGUCAACAUUGUCAUAGCAAUAUGGUAUGCCAGUUAUUAGUUCUGUUCAUUGCAGAUGGCUUCAUUAUGUGUAUUUAAUUUCAGUACUUAAGCAAACAUACAAUAACAAGGCUUAAGAGCUGCUUUAGGAUAUGACGGUUCUGUACGGUCAAAUGAAAUGGAAGGGAAAAGGAAACAACUGAUACUGCUCUGGUUGGAGGUAAAUCUGUAUUGAUGGGAUUAAGCCACUUAGAGGCAUCCCUCCACUUGAAUAGCCCCAAAACCACCAAUUGCUUUGUUUGCGGUAACGAGAAGGUACUGAUCACUAGAGCCUUAAUUUGCCACAGCAGUUAAGUGCUCCAAUUCCUCAGCGCAAUAAUUGCCACAUGUUGAGUGUGCAGAUGUCUAAACACGUGGGAGCACUUCCUUUUCCUAAAGACAAAUGAAGAUUUUCAUUUUGUUUUGUAAACGUGUCAGGAUUUAUCACUUAGUCAUGUGUCAUGCAUUAGGGUGUUUACACAAUACAGCUUUCCACACCCUGGUUCUGGACUUCUAUGAUUUCAACAACAUGGCUGUGGAGUAACGGGGCUUUGCCAAACCUUCUCCUUUUAACCCAAAGCUUCGCCUUUUAACCCAGACCUUUGGCUAGACUGAAGAGAAGUGUAAGCUAAGUGUGCGCGGUCAGGGAAGUAACUGGGACUAUU